RNAcentral lists this ribosomal RNA (305 nucleotides) under uncultured bacterium. Its description in RNAcentral is "bacterial SSU rRNA". It matches the Rfam family "Bacterial small subunit ribosomal RNA", at positions 338 to 634 of the family's 1533-position model. The record is from RNAcentral.
CCUACGGGGCGCAGCAGUAGGGAAUCUUCGGCAAUGGACGAAAGUCUGACCGAGCAACGCCGCGUGAGUGAAGAAGGUUUUCGGAUCGUAAAACUCUGUUGUUAGAGAAGAACGUUAAGUAGAGUGGAAAGUUACUUAAGUGACGGUAUCUAACCAGAAAGGGACGGCUAACUACGUGCCAGCAGCCGCGGUAAUACGUAGGGGGCGAGCGUUGUCCGGAAUCACUGGGCGUAAAGGGCGCGUAGGCGGUUUAAUAAGUCAGUGGUGAAAACUGAGGGCUCAACCCUCAGCCUGCCACUGAUACU